Pelobates cultripes (western spadefoot toad) is the source of this 209-nucleotide non-coding RNA. The record is from the annotation of a GenBank genome assembly. Lineage: Eukaryota; Metazoa; Chordata; Amphibia; Anura; Pelobatidae.
CCAGGAUGGACUCACAUCCAAGUUUCGAUUCAGUUGAAGAUUCCUAGGAGAGUCGUCAUUUCUAUCAGGAGAUGGAUUAUUAUUGUUAUGUUAUGUUGCUUUUUCUUACGACUGUGUUUUGUUAUCGCAGAUUGAAAUAGGAAAUGGAAUGUUGGGAAGGGAGUUAUAUGGUCUCCUUACUGUUUUCUGAUUGGUUGUUUACUCUCUGG